RNAcentral lists this ribosomal RNA (135 nucleotides) under uncultured bacterium. RNAcentral describes it as "partial 16S ribosomal RNA". It matches the Rfam family "Bacterial small subunit ribosomal RNA", at positions 355 to 507 of the family's 1533-position model. The record is from RNAcentral.
UCGGGAAUUUUGGGCAAUGGGCGAAAGCCUGACCCAGCAACGCCGCGUGAAGGAUGAAGUAUCUCGGUAUGUAAACUUCGGAAGAAUGGAAAGAAUAAAUGACGGUACCAUUUUUAAGCCCCGGCUAACUCCGUG